UACGUAGGUGGCAAGCGUUGUCCGGAAUUACUGGGUGUAAAGGGCGUGUAGGCGGGGAGACAAGUCAGAUGUGAAAUACCGUGGCUUAACUGCGGGGGUGCAUCUGAAACUGUUUCUCUUGAGUGUCGGAGAGGAAAGUGGAAUUCCCAGUGUAGCGGUGAAAUGCGUAGAGAUUGGGAGGAACACCAGUGGCGAAGGCGGCUUUCUGGACGAUAACUGACGCUGAGGCGCGAAAGCGUGGGUAGCAAACAGGGUUAGAUACCCCUGUAGUCCCU
This 275-nucleotide ribosomal RNA is filed under the name uncultured prokaryote. RNAcentral's name for it is "partial 16S ribosomal RNA". It matches the Rfam family "Bacterial small subunit ribosomal RNA", at positions 524 to 798 of the family's 1533-position model. The record is from RNAcentral.